Hypoxylon fuscum is the source of this 97-nucleotide non-coding RNA. Lineage: Eukaryota; Fungi; Ascomycota; Sordariomycetes; Xylariales; Hypoxylaceae. The record is from the annotation of a GenBank genome assembly.
GCCACCUUGAAGUAGUGGUUAACUUACCGGAGUCCGAUUUGUGUAGCCUUGCGUUACCCGAGAUCCGGGUACGCGUGUUCGAAUCACGCAGGUGGCC